This 457-nucleotide ribosomal RNA is filed under the name uncultured bacterium. RNAcentral describes it as "bacterial SSU rRNA". It matches the Rfam family "Bacterial small subunit ribosomal RNA", at positions 8 to 465 of the family's 1533-position model. The record is from RNAcentral.
AGAGUUUGAUCAUGGCUCAGAUUGAACGCUGGCGGCAGGCUUAACACAUGCAAGUCGAGCGGAAACGAUGGUAGCUUGCUACCAGGCGUCGAGCGGCGGACGGGUGAGUAAUACUUAGGAAUCUACCUAGUAGUGGGGGAUAGCACGGGGAAACUCGUAUUAAUACCGCAUACGACCUACGGGAGAAAGGGGGCAGUUUACUGCUCUCGCUAUUAGAUGAGCCUAAGUCGGAUUAGCUAGAUGGUGGGGUAAAGGCCUACCAUGGCGACGAUCUGUAGCUGGUCUGAGAGGAUGAUCAGCCACACCGGGACUGAGACACGGCCCGGACUCCUACGGGAGGCAGCAGUGGGGAAUAUUGGACAAUGGGGGAAACCCUGAUCCAGCCAUGCCGCGUGUGUGAAGAAGGCCUUUUGGUUGUAAAGCACUUUAAGCAGUGAAGAAGACUCUUCGGUUAAUA